Molecule: ribosomal RNA, 363 nt
Filed under: Triticum aestivum (bread wheat)
Lineage: Eukaryota; Viridiplantae; Streptophyta; Magnoliopsida; Poales; Poaceae
Description: partial small subunit ribosomal RNA
Source: RNAcentral
AUGGGGAGAGACCCCCUCCCCAGCGCCCCUUUGCUUUUCUUCUGUCGGGCCAAGCCCAAUCUUCGGUUUCGUUCCGGAGUUGUGAGGAUCCAUUCGACUACGCCUGUUUGUCUCCUUCAUCGACUCGUUCUUCUUCCUUGCGGGAUCUCAGGCAAGAUGACCAUACCCUUGAAAUCACUUCUAUCUUUGCUUGCUAGUUACUCGCUCUUUUGCUAUGCCUAUGUUGCGAUACCUACCACUUGCUAUAUCAUGCCUCCCAUAUUGCCAUGUCAAGCCUCUAACCAACCUUGUCCUAAUAAACCGUUGUUUGGCUAUGUUACCACUUUGCUCGGCCCCUCUUAUAGCAUUGCUAGUUGCAGGUGA